AGUGGGGGAUAUUGCACAAUGGGCGAAAGCCUGAUGCAGCGACGCCGCGUGAGGGAAGACGGUCUUCGGAUUGUAAACCUCUGUCUUUGGGGACGAUAAUGACGGUACCCAAGGAGGAAGCCACGGCUAACUACGUGCCAGCAGCCGCGGUAAUACGUAGGUGGCGAGCGUUGUCCGGAAUUACUGGGUGUAAAGGGAGCGUAGGCGGGAAUGCAAGUUGAAUGUCAAAUCUAUCGGCUCAACCGAUAGCCGCGUUCAAAACUGCAUUUCUUGAGUGAAGUAGAGGUUGGCGGAAUUCCUAGUGUAGCGGUGAAAUGCGUAGAUAUUAGGAGGAACACCAGUGGCGAAGGCGGCCAACUGGGCUUUAACUGACGCUGAGGCUCGAAAGCGUGGGGAGCAAA
RNAcentral lists this ribosomal RNA (401 nucleotides) under uncultured Hydrogenoanaerobacterium sp. RNAcentral describes it as "bacterial SSU rRNA". It matches the Rfam family "Bacterial small subunit ribosomal RNA", at positions 353 to 772 of the family's 1533-position model. Lineage: Bacteria; Bacillati; Bacillota; Clostridia; Eubacteriales; Oscillospiraceae. The record is from RNAcentral.